GACGAACGCUGGCGGCGUGCUUAACACAUGCAAGUCGAACGGAAAGGCCCCUUGGGGGUACUCGAGUGGCGAACGGGUGAGUAACACGUGAGUAACCUGCCCUUGACUUCGGGAUAACUUCAGGAAACUGGGGCUAAUACCGGAUAGGAAUCCUUGCUGCAUGGUGGGGGUUGGAAAGCUUCGGCGGUUUUGGAUGGACUCGCGGCUUAUCAGCUUGUUGGUGGGGUAGUGGCUUACCAAGGCUUUGACGGGUAGCCGGCCUGAGAGGGCGACCGGCCACAUUGGGACUGAGAUACGGCCCAGACUCCUACGGGAGGCAGCAGUGGGGAAUAUUGCACAAUGGGCGGAAGCCUGAUGCAGCAACGCCGCGUGCGGGAUGACGGCCUUCGGGUUGUAAACCGCUUUCAGCAGGGGCGAAGCUUGUGGUGACGGUACCUGCAGAAGAAGCACCGGCUAACUACGUG
RNAcentral lists this ribosomal RNA (464 nucleotides) under uncultured bacterium. RNAcentral describes it as "partial 16S ribosomal RNA". It matches the Rfam family "Bacterial small subunit ribosomal RNA", at positions 28 to 507 of the family's 1533-position model. The record is from RNAcentral.